This 257-nucleotide ribosomal RNA is filed under the name uncultured bacterium. Its description in RNAcentral is "partial small subunit ribosomal RNA". It matches the Rfam family "Bacterial small subunit ribosomal RNA", at positions 27 to 288 of the family's 1533-position model. The record is from RNAcentral.
GGGACGAACGCUGGCGGCGUGCUUAACACAUGCAAGUCGAGCGGAAAGGCCCUUCGGGGUACUCGAGCGGCGAACGGGUGAGUAACACGUGAGCAACCUGCCCCUGGCUCUGGGAUAGCCUCCGGAAACGGGGAUUAAUACCGGACAUGACCCUUGACCGCAUGGUUGGGGGUGGAAAGUUUUUCGGCCAGGGUGGGGCUCGCGGCCUAUCAGCUUGUUGGGGGGGUGACGGCCCACCAAGGCGACGACGGGUAGCC